AAUAGGUCCUCUUUAAUGAACGGAAGAGGUGCCGACAUAUUAGGCCAAAAGGUUCAAUAGAGACAAAAAAACAUUAAGCGGAGGACAAGGAGCAGAAAACCAUUCACACCAGGGACAGGCUCCUAAACAGCCAAGGUCACAAGGUCAGAGUGGAAUACAAUAAAUACAGGCAAGAUUAGUAACUUGAAAUUAGUAAAUUAGAAAAAGCUUGAAUGUGGUGUGAGAAUCUGAACAGAUAAUGGUGAUGAGGAACAGUUACAGGCUUCCUGAAGGGGGACACGGUCAAACUGAAGACUCCUCAGAUUGUCUAUAAGUAUUUCGAAUGUGACAAUUAUAGAACUGGAAUGUUUGCGGGCACCAACCGACACAAUUAUAACUUCACUGUCAGUGAUGUGGCUGAGGUAACAGGUUCUACAGAGCCCGAUACUGUGACCGUUAACUUUCCUGAGUACCCUGGUUGGGAGGGGAGUUCUUCUGAGCUGGAGCUGGUAUUCGCGAUAAAUAAAGAUCCAUGAUCACUUACUUAUUUACUUCCCCUAACGUUUAUUUUGGACCAACCAAAACCAUCCUGUCCCUCUAUGCAAAUGCUCUGCUGAUGUUCUAUGCAAAUACCUUUGGCCUUUAUUUUAUGUAACAUUAUGAACAGCUGCAAAGAUCACAUCUUGAAAUCAUUCAUGAAUCGAUUUCUUCACUCUUCUUUCUGCCUUUGUUAGCGUGUAACAAUCUCCAUAUUAUGAUCAACUAAUAGUGUAUGUCACUUUUGCAGUUUCACAGUAGAAUGGAAUUUAUUAACACAAUUUAUUAACAAUGCAGCCUAUAUGUCAAUGCGGCAAUGCCUUUGUUUCUUGUUCAUUAAGUUUAAUCCAAAGAAGAAUUACGACCUGUUAAUCAGUUAAAGACUUAAGAUGUUCUUUGAAUUCAUUUUGUUGUCAUGUAAGGGUAGGUGCAAAGUAAUGCACAUUAUACUGUAUAUCACGGUUUUAUCAGUGCCGAUGUUGGAGUAUAUUUCACCUUGAGGCUUUAUGAAUAAACAAAUGAAUGUAUUAAUUAA
This is a long non-coding RNA of Clupea harengus (Atlantic herring), 1051 nucleotides long. RefSeq lists it as uncharacterized. NCBI's taxonomy places the organism in Eukaryota, Metazoa, Chordata, Actinopteri, Clupeiformes, Clupeidae. The record is from RefSeq and is a predicted model, not a curated record. The transcript has 3 exons.